RNAcentral lists this ribosomal RNA (497 nucleotides) under uncultured bacterium. RNAcentral describes it as "partial 16S ribosomal RNA". It matches the Rfam family "Bacterial small subunit ribosomal RNA", at positions 28 to 507 of the family's 1533-position model. The record is from RNAcentral.
GACGAACGCUGGCGGCGUGCCUAAUACAUGCAAGUCGAGCGCACAGGUGAGGAGCUUGCUCCUCCGACGUUAGCGGCGGACGGGUGAGUAACACGUGGAUAACCUGCCUAUAAGACUGGGAUAACUUCGGGAAACGGGAGCUAAUACCGGAUAAUAUCUUGAACCACAUGGUUCAAUAGUGAAAGACGGUUUUGCUGUACCUAAUAGAUAGCUCGCGUCGGCAUAGGCUAGUGGGUAAGGUAACGCCUUACCAAGGCAACAUUCCGAGGCCGACCGGGAAGGGUGAUCGGCCACAUUGGAACGGGAACACGGCCCAAACUCCUACGGGAGGAAGCAGAAGGGAAUCUUCGGCAUUGGGCGAAGGCCGAACGGGGAAAGCCGGCGUGGGGAAUGAGGGUCUUGGGUUCGUAAAACCCUGUUAUAGAGAAGAAACAAGUGGGUAAGGGAAUGUGCACGACGUGACGGUAACUAAUCAGAAAGCCACGGCUAACUACGUG